GGGAGGAAAGUAGGGGAUCGCAAGACCUUGCGCUUUUGGAGCGGCCGAUGUCUGAUUAGCUAGUUGGUGAGGUAAAGGCUUACCAAGGCUUCGAUCAGUAGCUGGUCUGAGAGGACGACCAGCCACACUGGGACUGAGACACGGCCCAGACUCCUACGGGAGGCAGCAGUGGGGAAUUUUGGACAAUGGGGGAAACCCUGAUCCAGCCAUGCCGCGUGAGUGAAGAAGGCCUUCGGGUUGUAAAGCUCUUUCAGCCGGAACGAAAAGGUUACGGUUAAUACCCGUGACUAAUGACGGUACCGGAAGAAGAAGCACCGGCUAACUACGUGCCAGCAGCCGCGGUAAUACGUAGGGUGCGAGCGUUAAUCGGAAUUACUGGGCGUAAAGCGUGCGCAGGCGGUUUUGUAAGUCAG
Molecule: ribosomal RNA, 413 nt
Filed under: uncultured Nitrosospira sp.
Lineage: Bacteria; Pseudomonadati; Pseudomonadota; Betaproteobacteria; Nitrosomonadales; Nitrosomonadaceae
Description: bacterial SSU rRNA
Rfam family: Bacterial small subunit ribosomal RNA
Source: RNAcentral